Molecule: ribosomal RNA, 253 nt
Filed under: uncultured bacterium
Lineage: Bacteria
Description: partial 16S ribosomal RNA
Rfam family: Bacterial small subunit ribosomal RNA
Source: RNAcentral
UACGGGGGGUGCAAGCGUUGUUCGGAAUUACUGGGCGUAAAGGGCUCGUAGGUGGCCAACUAAGUCAGACGUGAAAUCCCUCGGCUUAACCGGGGAACUGCGUCUGAUACUGGAUGGCUUGAGUUUGGGAGAGGGACGCGGAAUUCCAGGUGUAGCGGUGAAAUGCGUAGAUAUCUGGAGGAACACCGGUGGCGAAGGCGGCGUCCUGGACCAACACUGACACUGAUGAGCGAAAGCCAGGGGAGCAAACGGG